This 212-nucleotide long non-coding RNA is filed under the name Gallus gallus (chicken). Lineage: Eukaryota; Metazoa; Chordata; Aves; Galliformes; Phasianidae. The record is from RNAcentral.
GAAGAUGGCUAAUUUACCAUGCACUUGAUAAUUAAAAAUAAAAAUAAAAAAUCGUUCAAGUAGAGAGCCCUUUCAGAAAAACAUAAGAAAUUUUCUUCAGCUUUGCAUCACAGAAUCUUGAAUUUUAAUAUAUUGAACUAAUUGAAGUACUGUACUAGCAUUUCAGCAGUACUUGACUAGCCAGAUUUGGCACUUCAGCUUUGCAACACAAC